AUUGAACGCUGGCGGCAUGCCUUACACAUGCAAGUCGAACGGCAGCACGGGAGCUUGCUCCUGGUGGCGAGUGGCGAACGGGUGAGUAAUACAUCGGAACGUACCCUGAAGUGGGGGGAUAACGUAGCGAAAGUUACGCUAAUACCGCAUAUUCUGUGAGCAGGAAAGAGGGGGGAUCGCAAGACCUCUUGCUUUAGGAGCGGCCGAUGUCGGAUUAGCUAGUUGGUGAGGUUAAAGGCUCACCAAGGCGACGAUCCGUAGCGGGACUGAGAGGAUGAUCCGCCACACUGGGACUGAGACACGGCCCAGACUCCUACGGGAGGCAGCAGUGGGGAAUUUUGGACAAUGGGCGCAAGCCUGAUCCAGCCAUGCCGCGUGAGUGAAGAAGG
This 389-nucleotide ribosomal RNA is filed under the name uncultured bacterium. RNAcentral's name for it is "bacterial SSU rRNA". It matches the Rfam family "Bacterial small subunit ribosomal RNA", at positions 30 to 414 of the family's 1533-position model. The record is from RNAcentral.